RNAcentral lists this transfer RNA (72 nucleotides) under Cyanobacteria bacterium UBA11371. RNAcentral's name for it is "tRNA-Val". It matches the Rfam family "tRNA". Rfam says of the family: Transfer RNA (tRNA) molecules are approximately 80 nucleotides in length. Their secondary structure includes four short double-helical elements and three loops (D, anti-codon, and T loops). Lineage: Bacteria; Bacillati; Cyanobacteriota. RNAcentral also lists the same sequence under 3 other names. The record is from RNAcentral.
GGGCGAUUAGCACAGUGGUAGCGCAUAUCCUUCACACGGAUAGGGUCACUGGUUCAAAUCCAGUAUCGCCCA